Molecule: ribosomal RNA, 1299 nt
Filed under: Triticum aestivum (bread wheat)
Lineage: Eukaryota; Viridiplantae; Streptophyta; Magnoliopsida; Poales; Poaceae
Description: partial small subunit ribosomal RNA
Source: RNAcentral
AUGGCUACCGCCGCCGCCGUGGUGGAUGCUGCCAACUCGAAGCCGCGGGACACGGAGCGCCGCCCCCGCCGUCUUCGCAGGGUCAAGAAGAACAGGGCCGCGGGCGCCAAUGCGGCAGUCGGCGAGGGCACCAGGGAGAGCGCCGGUCCCGACCCCCACCCCCAGGUGGAGGUGGAGUACGUGCCGGAGAAGGCCGACCUCGACGUCGACGACCUCCUCCUCGGCGUCUUCACGACCAUCUUCGAGAAAUUCAGCUUCACGGUCACCGCCACCGCCAAGGGCGAGGGGAACGAGAAGGAAGCAUCUAAUGAUGCCGCAAAGAAGAAGGGGUCCGAUGUUGAUUAUGAUGAGCAGGAUGCCCCAAAAAAGAAGCAGCUGCAGAGGAUGAAGAUUGCAGAGUUGAAGCAGAUAUGCAACAAGCCUGAUGUUGUUGAGGUCUGGGAUGCUACUGCCGUUGAUCCCGAGUUGCUUGUAUAUCUCAAAUCCUACAGGAAUACUGUGCCUGUUCCAAGACACUGGUCCCAGAAACGAAAGUUCUUGCAGGCGAAGCGGGGUAUUGCAAAACGACCUUUCCAGCUUCCUGUCUUCAUUGCUGCAACUGGAAUUGAAAAAAUGAGACAGGCAUACAUUAAGAAGGAGAACAGCAAGAGGUCGAAACAGAAACAGCGCGGCUGUACUCAGCCCAAAAUGGGCAAGAUGGAUAUAGAUUAUCAGGAUUUGCAUGGCGCAUUCUUCAAAUAUCAAACAAAACCCAAUUUGACUAGUCAUGGUGAUCUGUAUUAUGAAGGGAAAGAGUUUGAGGUGAAGCUUAGGGAAAUGAAACCAGGUAUGCUGUCCAGGAAGCUUAAAGAAGCUCUUGGUAUGCCUGAUGGUGCCCCGCCCCCAUGGCUUAAAAGCAUGCAGCCGUAUGGUCCUCCACCCUCUUAUCCUUGUCUGAAGAUCCCGGGUUUAAAUGCCCCAGUAUCUCCAGGAGACAGUUUUGAUGAUGCACCAGGGGAGUGGGGAAAUCCUCCUAUUGGCGAGGAAGAACCUCUCGAUCGCAGUAAGCACUGGGGAGAAUUGGAGGAAGAGGAGGAGGUGGAGCAGGAACCAAUGGAGGACGAGGAAAUAGAAGAAGGCAUUCGAUCUGUUGACACCAUCUCAAGUACUCCAGCCGGUGCCGAAACACCUGAUGUUAUUGACCUUGGGAGGACGCAGCCUGAGAGGCAGGCAGAAAGGCUAUACAAGGUUCUUGAACGGAAAGAAGAAAGGAUAGCCACUGGGACGCUGUUUGGAUCGACGCACACGUAUCGUUUUUAG